RNAcentral lists this ribosomal RNA (494 nucleotides) under uncultured bacterium. Its description in RNAcentral is "partial 16S ribosomal RNA". It matches the Rfam family "Bacterial small subunit ribosomal RNA", at positions 28 to 507 of the family's 1533-position model. The record is from RNAcentral.
GACGAACGCUGGCGGCGUGCUUAACACAUGCAAGUCGAACGGAAAGGCCUGCUUUCCCUUGUGGGUUGCGGGUGCUCGAGUGGCGAACGGGUGAGUAACACGUGAGUGAUCUGCCCCCAACUUGGGUAUAAGCCUGGGAAACUGGGUCUAAUUCCCGAUAGGACUGCAGGGUGGUGCCUGUGGUGGAAAACGAUUUUCUAGUGGUUGGGGAUGAGCUCGCGGCCUAUCAGCUUGUUGGUGGGGUAAUGGCCUACCAAGGCGGCGACGGGUAGCCGGCCUGAGAGGGUGGACGGCCACAUUGGGACUGAGAUACGGCCCAGACGCCUACGGGAGGCAGCAGUGGGGAAUAUUGCACAAUGGGCGGAAGCCUGAUGCAGCGACGCCGCGUGGGGGAUGACGGCCUUCGGGUUGUAAACUCCUUUCGACCGCGAGGAAGCCACCUGGUUGGAAGGGUGGUGACGGUAGUGGUAGAAGAAGCACCGGCUAACUACGUG